AGAGUUUGAUCCUGGCUCAGGAUGAACGCUAGCGACAGGCUUAACACAUGCAAGUCGAGGGGCAUCGGGGAGUAGCAAUACUCUGCCGGCGACCGGCGCACGGGUGAGUAACGCGUAUGGAACCUGCCCUGUACAGGGGAAUAGCCCAUGGAAACGUGGAUUAAUGUCCCAUAUGACAUUCGGGAGGCAUCUUUCGGGUGUAAAAUUUUCGGAGGUACAGGAUGGCCAUGCGUCCUAUUAGAUAGUUGGCGGGGUAACGGCCCACCAAGUCGAUGAUAGGUAGGGGUUCUGAGAGGAAGGUCCCCCACAUUGGAACUGAGACACGGUCCAAACUCCUACGGGAGGCAGCAGUGAGGAAUAUUGGUCAAUGGGCGCGAGCCUGAACCAGCCAAGUCGCGUGAGGGAAGACUGCCCUAUGGGUUGUAAACCUCUUUUAUUCGGGAAGAAUAAGCCUUACGAGUAGGGUGAUGCCUGUACCGAAUGAAUAAGCAUCGGCUAACUCCGUGCCAGCAGCCGCGGUAAUACGGAGGACGCGAGCGUUAUCCGGAUUUAUUGGGUUUAAAGGGUGCGUAGGCGGAAUAUCAAGUCAGCGGUAAAAAUUCGGGGCUCAACCCCGUCGUGCCGUUGAAACUGAUGUUCUUGAGUGGGCGAGAAGUAUGCGGAAUGCGCGGUGUAGCGGUGAAAUGCAUAGAUAUCGCGCAGAACUCCGAUUGCGAAGGCAGCAUGCCGGCUCCACACUGACGCUGAGGCACGAAAGCGUGGGUAUCGAACAGGAUUAGAUACCCUGGUAGUCCACGCAGUAAACGAUGAAUGCUGGCUGUCCGGGGGGAUUGACCCCUGGGUGGCGAAGCGAAAGCGAUAAGCAUUCCACCUGGGGAGUACGCCGGCAACGGUGAAACUCAAAGGAAUUGACGGGGGCCCGCACAAGCGGAGGAACAUGUGGUUUAAUUCGAUGAUACGCGAGGAACCUUACCCGGGCUCAAACGGGGAGUGACUCAGGCAGAGACGCCUGUUUCCCACGGGACACUCCCCGAGGUGCUGCAUGGUUGUCGUCAGCUCGUGCCGUGAGGUGUCGGCUUAAGUGCCAUAACGAGCGCAACCCCCGCGUGCAGUUGCUAACAGAUAACGCUGAGGACUCUGCACGGACUGCCGGCGCAAGCCGCGAGGAAGGCGGGGAUGACGUCAAAUCAGCACGGCCCUUACGUCCGGGGCGACACACGUGUUACAAUGGGUGGUACAGCGGGAAGCCAGGCGGCGACGCCGAGCGGAACCCGAAAUCCACUCUCAGUUCGGAUCGGAGUCUGCAACCCGACUCCGUGAAGCUGGAUUCGCUAGUAAUCGCGAAUCAGAAUGUCGCGGUGAAUACAAUCCCGGGUCUUGCACUCACCGCCCGUCA
RNAcentral lists this ribosomal RNA (1396 nucleotides) under uncultured bacterium. RNAcentral describes it as "16S ribosomal RNA". It matches the Rfam family "Bacterial small subunit ribosomal RNA". The record is from RNAcentral.